CUUGUCCUCAUUUUGGAUUCUAUAAAUUCCCAAAAGCAAAGCACAAAAUAACGCAAUUUAAUAUGGGUGAUUAUUUAGCAGUACAAAACAAAAUUGAAAGAGGAAUACGAAAAACAACCUGGUGAGACAGAGUUAUUGACACGAGCUGCAAGAUGACGACUCCGGUGUUCUAAUCUGUUGCGAUCAAAUGCGAUGCAGUUCGCAAAUGGUUCGAUUUUGAAUGCUUGCCAACCUCCACCGUUUUCUUUGAUUUUAGGGACAAUGAGCCAAGACCUGUCAGACCCACAUUGAAGGUUCGCUGGUGUCGAACUUCCCGACAACUGGAAGUUCCGGC
This 334-nucleotide long non-coding RNA is filed under the name Olea europaea subsp. europaea. Lineage: Eukaryota; Viridiplantae; Streptophyta; Magnoliopsida; Lamiales; Oleaceae. The record is from RNAcentral.